AUGAGACCAUGACACCAAAUUUCGACCACCUGGGAAAACAAUUGUCUCAAUUUUCUAGGUAUUGCUUCACGAAAUAGUCUUGUGAGUUGCGACGGAUGCAGAAACCACCUCGCAAUCCGGUGGGCGCACUACUGGUUUUCGACAGCUGCCGGACGAUAAUUUAGGCUGCAAUUUGCACACCUUGCUAUUAUCUUGCUCGCCCCGAUGUAGUUGCGACCGCGACUCGGCUCAACUACGUUCCAAACUGAAUUGAGUUGCAGGAUUCUCAAGCAAAAGAUAGAAAAAUUCACAAGUGGAGGCAGAAAAGCAAACGCCUCAGCCCUCGUGUUUUUUUGGCUGCAACUUGAUGACCUGAGGGCCAUGCCAUUAUCAGUCGGCAGCGCCUAUUUUAACUUCAGAAAACUGCCAGUUGCGCCGACUCGGCCCUCUUCAGAAUCUGCCCGUGAUGAUGGCCUGAUUUCGCCGCCCAUGAUUCUUCGCAACGAUUGGAUCUUCCCAGCAUGGUUGCUGAUAAAAUUAGUUGCCUAGGUCGCCAAUAAUUUGUUUGGCUACUCUUCUCACCUGUUCCGUUAGCUGGAGAAUUCUCCCCAUCACAUCGUUGUAGAGGAAUUAUAGAAUCCUCGACCCUCUAGAUGCAAAGUUCUUUUCAGCAAAACAAAAGGUUGCUCACAAGCUUAUCCAUUUCUGGCACAGAACGACAGAACCUUCAAGAUCGAUAAGGCUAACCAGUGCCACUGUUAGUUGUGUCCUCAGAGCACUGUUACUUGUCCAUGCAUGUACAGAGAAGGGGAUGACUCGACAAGUUUGGUUAAGGGUUGUCGCCUCUAGAAGAGAUUUUGGAUUUUGUUGUGAAGUUGCAGAGAUGGAAGCGCUUCCGGUCGAUCUUCUUCUCCUUCGAUUUAAAGCCUGCAUAAACAGAGCACAGAGCACACUGCACUUUUGAAGAAACUGUUGCUUCACAGUCUGAAAUUGGUUGGAUACAACAGCAUUUCCAAUUCACACCAAGACCUCAGAAAGAGAGAGGAAGCGUAGAUGAAACCAAAAUCGCCUCUCACUCUGAUGAAACCAAAUUCACGCCAACAGCAUUUCCAAUUCACGCCAAGACUCGCAAAAGAAGGGCUCAUGGGCCUUACCAAAAUCACCUCUUUCUGCUGAAACCAAUGCAGUCAAUAACAGGAACUCACAGUCCUUCAUAGUUGAGGCAUCACCUUGGACAGGGGCAGCACUUGACACCUGACAGGGCCCAAUGAGCAAUGUGCAUGACUUGGGAUGCUAUAAGUAGCAAUGCCACGUCAUGUGUAUACGCAUCAAA
RNAcentral lists this long non-coding RNA (1312 nucleotides) under Setaria italica (foxtail millet). RNAcentral describes it as "long non-coding RNA (SITA_LNC007365)". Lineage: Eukaryota; Viridiplantae; Streptophyta; Magnoliopsida; Poales; Poaceae. The record is from RNAcentral.